This 468-nucleotide ribosomal RNA is filed under the name uncultured bacterium. RNAcentral describes it as "partial 16S ribosomal RNA". It matches the Rfam family "Bacterial small subunit ribosomal RNA", at positions 28 to 507 of the family's 1533-position model. The record is from RNAcentral.
GACGAACGCUGGCGGCGUGCUUAACACAUGCAAGUCGAACGGAAAGGCCCUGCUUUUGUGGGGUGCUCGAGUGGCGAACGGGUGAGUAACACGUGAGUAACCUGCCCUUGACUUUGGGAUAACUUCAGGAAACUGGGGCUAAUACCGGAUAGGAGCUCCUGCUGCAUGGUGGGGGUUGGAAAGUUUCGGCGGUUGGGGAUGGACUCGCGGCUUAUCAGCUUGUUGGUGGGGUAGUUGCUUACCAAGGCUUUGACGGGUAGCCGGCCUGAGAGGGUGACCGGGCACAUUGGGACUGAGAGAGGGACCAGACUCGUACGGGAGGCAGCAGGGGGGAAUAUUGCACAAUGGGCGGAAGCCUGAUGCAGCAACGCCGCGUGCGGGAUGAAGGCCUUCGGGGUGUAAACCGCUUUCGCCUGUGACGAAGCGUGAGUGACGGUAAUGGGUAAAGAAGCACCGGCUAACUACGUG